This 84-nucleotide non-coding RNA is filed under the name Paraliobacillus sp. PM-2. RNAcentral describes it as "Cyclic di-GMP-II riboswitch aptamer". It matches the Rfam family "Cyclic di-GMP-II riboswitch aptamer". The record is from Rfam by way of RNAcentral. RNAcentral also lists the same sequence under 1 other name. Lineage: Bacteria; Bacillati; Bacillota; Bacilli; Caryophanales; Bacillaceae.
UAUGUAUAUAGGCGCAUUGAAAAUCUAUCUUUAUCUGGGCACUUGGAUAGAUCGGAGCUAGUAGUGCAACCGACUGACAAUAGA